UCUCAGUGGGAGAUUUCUCCAUGUGCCUGCACACAGUCACAUUCUAAGAACAUGUGGAUGAGGUGCUGUCUGGAGCUCUCUGCUGUGACUGGGAUCAAGAGUAAAUCUUUCUAGUGGAGGAACCCUUUGUCUGACCUGAAUGAGUAGCAACAGGAG
Molecule: long non-coding RNA, 156 nt
Organism: Vidua chalybeata
Lineage: Eukaryota; Metazoa; Chordata; Aves; Passeriformes; Viduidae
Exons: 3
Source: RefSeq, a predicted model, not a curated record